Molecule: small nucleolar RNA, 58 nt
Filed under: Mus caroli (Ryukyu mouse)
Lineage: Eukaryota; Metazoa; Chordata; Mammalia; Rodentia; Muridae
Description: predicted gene, 22889 (MGP_CAROLIEiJ_G0036279.1)
Source: RNAcentral
CAGAGGAAAUCCUGACGGGUUGUUUCCAUCUGUCCGGAGGACUGUCUCUACAACUCUG